UAACCCUAUGUAAAUACAAAACACGUGC
This 28-nucleotide small RNA is filed under the name Bombyx mori (domestic silkworm). RNAcentral describes it as "ovarian small RNA-18733". Lineage: Eukaryota; Metazoa; Arthropoda; Insecta; Lepidoptera; Bombycidae. The record is from RNAcentral.